Molecule: transfer RNA, 67 nt
Filed under: Solenaia carinata
Lineage: Eukaryota; Metazoa; Mollusca; Bivalvia; Unionida; Unionidae
Description: tRNA-Met
Source: RNAcentral
GGUGGGAUAAGCUAACCUCUAAAGCUGUUGGGCUCAUAACCCAAAAAUAGACACAUUCUUCCCACUA